AAGUCCUGACAUUGAUUAUGAAAA
This 24-nucleotide non-coding RNA is filed under the name Gossypium hirsutum (cotton). Lineage: Eukaryota; Viridiplantae; Streptophyta; Magnoliopsida; Malvales; Malvaceae. The record is from RNAcentral.